This is a small nucleolar RNA of Cervus hanglu yarkandensis (Yarkand deer), 211 nucleotides long. Its record names the gene U3. It matches the Rfam family "Small nucleolar RNA U3". Rfam says of the family: Small nucleolar RNAs (snoRNAs) are involved in the processing and modification of rRNA in the nucleolus. There are two main classes of snoRNAs: the box C/D class, and the box H/ACA class. Lineage: Eukaryota; Metazoa; Chordata; Mammalia; Artiodactyla; Cervidae. The record is from Ensembl.
AAGACUAUACUUUCAAGGCUCAUUUCUGUAGUUUGUUACUAGAGAAGUCUCUCUGAAUGUGUGGACUACCCAAAACCACAAAGAGGAGGCAUAGCAGUCUCUCCUGAAUAUGAAGCCAGCUCUUGGUGUUGCUUCUGCAACUGCCAUUAGUCCUUGAUGAUUGUUCUCUUCCUUUGGGAGAGUAAGAGGGAAAGAAUGUUGUCUGAGCUGA